AACGCGAAGAACCUUACCUGGGCUCGAAAUGUAGAGGACGGAUUCAGAAAUGAAUCUUCUCGAAAGGGUCUUUACAUAGGUGCUGCAUGGCUAUCGUCAGCUCGUGCCGUGAGGUGUUUGGUUAAGUCCAGCAACGAGCGCAACCCUUAUCAUUAGUUGCCAGCGCGUAAUGGCGGGAACUCUAAUGAGACUGCCUGGGUUAACCAGGAGGAAGGUGAGGAUGACGUUAAGUCCGCAUGGCCUUUAUGUCCAGGGCUACACACGUGCUACAAUGGUCGGUACAGAAGGCGGCAAGACCGUAAGGUGGAGCAAAUCCUAAAAAACCGAUCUCAGUUCGGAUUGUAGACUGCAACUCGUCUACAUGAAGUUGGAAUUGCUAGUAAUGGCGUGUCAGCAACAACGCCGUGAAUACGUUCCCGGGCCUUGUACACACCGAGUAUA
Molecule: ribosomal RNA, 441 nt
Filed under: uncultured bacterium
Lineage: Bacteria
Description: bacterial SSU rRNA
Rfam family: Bacterial small subunit ribosomal RNA
Source: RNAcentral